UACAUCCUUGCCCUGUAAUCUAAGCUGUCCAGAUGAAAUCUCGACUCGUCAGUGAGCAAAACACCAUCCCAAUCUUGUCUCCUGUACCUUAAAUGAUGUCUGCACCAGGCAUGACGUGCCUGUCGGUGACGUUGGAGCACAAUUGGACGUCUUGCAGGCCGUCAGACCACAUGUGCU
Haliotis rubra (blacklip abalone) is the source of this 177-nucleotide long non-coding RNA. RefSeq lists it as uncharacterized. The record is from RefSeq and is a predicted model, not a curated record. Lineage: Eukaryota; Metazoa; Mollusca; Gastropoda; Lepetellida; Haliotidae. The transcript has 3 exons.